AGUGAACGCUGGCGGUAGGCCUAACACAUGCAAGUCGAACGGCAGCACAGUAAGAGCUUGCUCUUACGGGUGGCGAGUGGCGGACGGGUGAGGAAUACAUCGGAAUCUACUUUUUCGUGGGGGAUAACGUAGGGAAACUUACGCUAAUACCGCAUACGACCUACGGGUGAAAGCAGGGGAUCUUCGGACCUUGCGCGAUUGAAUGAGCCGAUGUCGGAUUAGCUAGUUGGCGGGGUAAAGGCCCACCAAGGCGACGAUCCGUAGCUGGUCUGAGAGGAUGAUCAGCCACACUGGAACUGAGACACGGUCCAGACUCCUACGGGAGGCAGCAGUGGGGAAUAUUGGACAAAGGGCGCAAGCCUGAUCCAGCCAUACCGCGUGGGUGAAGAAGGCCUUCGGGUUGUAAAGCCCUUUUGUUGCGAAAGAAAAGCAGCAGGUUAAUACCCCGCUGUUCUGACGGUACCCAAAGAAUAAGCACCGGCUAACUUCGUG
RNAcentral lists this ribosomal RNA (492 nucleotides) under uncultured bacterium. RNAcentral's name for it is "partial 16S ribosomal RNA". It matches the Rfam family "Bacterial small subunit ribosomal RNA", at positions 29 to 507 of the family's 1533-position model. The record is from RNAcentral.